AUUGAACGCUGGCGGCAGGCCUAACACAUGCAAGUCGGGCGGAUGAAGGGAGCUUGCUCCUGGAUUCAGCGGCGGACGGGUGAGUAAUACCUAGGAAUCUGCCUGGUAGUGGGGGAUAACGUCCGGAAACGGGCGCUAAUACCGCAUACGUCCUGAGGGAGAAAGUGGGGGAUCUUCGGACCUCACGCUAUCAGAUGAGCCUAGGUCGGAUUAGCUAGUUGGUGGGGUAAAGGCCUACCAAGGCGACGAUCCGUAACUGGUCUGAGAGGAUGAUCAGUCACACUGGAACUGAGACACGGUCCAGACUCCUACGGGAGGCAGCAGUGGGGAAUAUUGGACAAUGGGCGAAAGCCUGAUCCAGCCAUGCCGCGUGUGUGAAGAAGGUCUUCGGAUUGUAAAGCACUUUAAGUUGGGAGGAAGGGCAGUAAGUUAAUACCUUGCUGUUUUGACGUUACCAACAGAAUAAGCACCGGCUAACUUCGUG
This 484-nucleotide ribosomal RNA is filed under the name uncultured bacterium. RNAcentral's name for it is "partial 16S ribosomal RNA". It matches the Rfam family "Bacterial small subunit ribosomal RNA", at positions 30 to 507 of the family's 1533-position model. The record is from RNAcentral.